UACGUAGGGUGCGAGCGUUAAUCGGAAUUACUGGGCGUAAAGCGUGCGCAGGCGGUUUUGUAAGCCAGAUGUGAAAUCCCCGGGCUUAACCUGGGAAUGGCAUUUGGGACUGCAAGGCUCGAGUGCGGCAGAGGAGACUGGAAUUCCUGGUGUAGCAGUGAAAUGCGUAGAUAUCGAGAGGAACACCAGUGGCGAAGGCGAGUCCCUGGACAACUCCUGACACUGAGGCACGAAAGCUAGGGGAGCAAACAGG
This 253-nucleotide ribosomal RNA is filed under the name uncultured bacterium. RNAcentral's name for it is "partial 16S ribosomal RNA". It matches the Rfam family "Bacterial small subunit ribosomal RNA", at positions 524 to 776 of the family's 1533-position model. The record is from RNAcentral.